UCCGGUGACGAUAGCAGAAGGGAUCCACCUGUACCCAUACCGAACACAGAAGUUAAGCCUUCAUGCGCCGAUGGUACUUGGCUGGUAACGGCCUGGGAGAGUAGGUUAUUGCCGGAU
This is a ribosomal RNA of Peptoniphilus sp. BV3C26, 117 nucleotides long. NCBI's taxonomy places the organism in Bacteria, Bacillati, Bacillota, Tissierellia, Tissierellales, Peptoniphilaceae. The record is from Rfam.